UGUCAUUAGGCAAGGGAGAUGAUGAAUUUUUAACCUCCAAGGUUUGGCUAUUCAGUCCGUCUUCUAAAGAAUCCGACCCAGAAUCCGAACAAGAAGCAGACUCAAUGAAAGACACAUGAUUAAAUGAUGUCAUUAGGAAGCAAGAAGGCCGGACAUUAUGAACAACAAUUCCUUGAGAAUGUGCCACAUUUACAAUCUCAACUAUUUGCCUAAAUAUAUGUAAACAUUCAAAUUCAUCAAUGGAUCUUUCAGGUUUGUCCAACCACUGCCUCAAGCUAACAUCACCCCAUUCUA
RNAcentral lists this unclassified non-coding RNA (294 nucleotides) under Hevea brasiliensis (rubber tree). Lineage: Eukaryota; Viridiplantae; Streptophyta; Magnoliopsida; Malpighiales; Euphorbiaceae. The record is from RNAcentral.